Molecule: ribosomal RNA, 287 nt
Filed under: uncultured Orbus sp.
Lineage: Bacteria; Pseudomonadati; Pseudomonadota; Gammaproteobacteria; Orbales; Orbaceae
Description: partial 16S ribosomal RNA
Rfam family: Bacterial small subunit ribosomal RNA
Source: RNAcentral
UGGGGAAUAUUGCACAAUGGGGGAAACCCUGAUGCAGCCAUGCCGCGUGUAUGAAGAAGGCCUUAGGGUUGUAAAGUACUUUCGGUGAUGAGGAAGGUACUUGGUCUAAUAGGCCAAGUAAUUGACGUUAAUUACAGAAGAAGCACCGGCUAACUCCGUGCCAGCAGCCGCGGUAAUACGGAGGGUGCGAGCGUUAAUCGGAAUGACUGGGCGUAAAGGGCAUGUAGGCGGAUGAUUAAGUUAGGUGUGAAAUCCCCGAGCUCAACUUGGGAAUUGCAUUUAAAACU